This 465-nucleotide ribosomal RNA is filed under the name Vreelandella stevensii. RNAcentral's name for it is "partial 16S ribosomal RNA". It matches the Rfam family "Bacterial small subunit ribosomal RNA", at positions 338 to 795 of the family's 1533-position model. Lineage: Bacteria; Pseudomonadati; Pseudomonadota; Gammaproteobacteria; Oceanospirillales; Halomonadaceae. The record is from RNAcentral.
CCUACGGGCGGCUGCAGUGGGGAAUAUUGGACAAUGGGGGCAACCCUGAUCCAGCCAUGCCGCGUGUGUGAAGAAGGCCCUCGGGUUGUAAAGCACUUUCAGUGAGGAAGAACGCCUGGUGGUUAAUACCCAUCAGGAAAGACAUCACUCACAGAAGAAGCACCGGCUAACUCCGUGCCAGCAGCCGCGGUAAUACGGAGGGUGCGAGCGUUAAUCGGAAUUACUGGGCGUAAAGCGCGCGUAGGUGGCUUGAUAAGCCGGUUGUGAAAGCCCCGGGCUCAACCUGGGAACGGCAUCCGGAACUGGCAAGCUAGAGUGCAGGAGAGGAAGGUAGAAUUCCCGGUGUAGCGGUGAAAUGCGUAGAGAUCGGGAGGAAUAACAGUGGCGAAGGCGGCCUUCUGGACUGACACUGACACUGAGGUGCGAAAGCGUGGGUAGCAAACAGGAUUAGAUACCCUAGUAGUC